GUGGGGAAUAUUGGACAAUGGGCGAAAGCCUGAUCCAGCCAUGCCGCGUGUGUGAAGAAGGUCUUCGGAUUGUAAAGCACUUUAAGUUGGGAGGAAGGGCAGUAAGUUAAUACCUUGCUGUUUUGACGUUACCAACAGAAUAAGCACCGGCUAACUUCGUGCCAGCAGCCGCGGUAAUACGAAGGGUGCAAGCGUUAAUCGGAAUUACUGGGCGUAAAGCGCGCGUAGGUGGUUUGGUAAGAUGGAUGUGAAAUCCCCGGGCUCAACCUGGGAACUGCAUCCAUAACUGCCUGACUAGAGUACGGUAGAGGGUGGUGGAAUUUCCUGUGUAGCGGUGAAAUGCGUAGAUAUAGGAAGGAACACCAGUGGCGAAGGCGACCACCUGGACUGAUACUGACACUGAGGUGCGAAAGCGUGGGGAGCAAACAGGAUUAGAUACCCGUGUAGUCC
Molecule: ribosomal RNA, 450 nt
Filed under: uncultured bacterium
Lineage: Bacteria
Description: partial 16S ribosomal RNA
Rfam family: Bacterial small subunit ribosomal RNA
Source: RNAcentral